This 194-nucleotide microRNA precursor is filed under the name Oryza nivara. RNAcentral describes it as "MIR812 microRNA precursor family". It matches the Rfam family "MIR812 microRNA precursor family". The record is from Rfam by way of RNAcentral. Lineage: Eukaryota; Viridiplantae; Streptophyta; Magnoliopsida; Poales; Poaceae.
AAUAAGUAUAGUUCUACACUAUUUACGUUUAACGUUUGACUAUUUAUUUUAUUUGAAUUUUUUUAUUAGUAUUUUUAUUGCUAUUAGAUGAUAAAACAUAAAUAGUGAUUUAUGUAUGACUAAAUUUUUUAAAUUUUUUCAUAAAUUUUUCAAAUAAGACGGGUUGGACACGGACAUCUAUGGCUAUAUGCAUG